This is a long non-coding RNA of Homo sapiens (human), 3143 nucleotides long. Ensembl annotates it as NR2F1 antisense RNA 1. Its record names the gene NR2F1-AS1. Lineage: Eukaryota; Metazoa; Chordata; Mammalia; Primates; Hominidae. The record is from Ensembl.
GGGAGUCGGCGACCGCUUAGUGACGAGCGAUGAUUUUAAAGAGCAGAAUAAAAGGUUUUCCCGUGCCUGCCCCACAGCCCCUCCAGCUCGAAUAAUGGAGAACUGUCAAUGCACUCCGCGAGCGGUGGCCCAUUGUACGCAGCUGAUGGCGAGGAGGCGACUGGGGGUAGCAGGGGCUCCUUGCCCUCGUCCCUAUGCCCAAAUAAACGCGCAAACGCGCUCCCGUCUUCUGGUCAGUUAAAAGGUGAAACGAACACGAUUAAAAUAGACCAAAAGAAAAGAAAGAAAAGAAAACCUUUCUAUGUACAGAUUCUAAAUCGUACUCCCCAUACAGUCAGAGGCAGGGAGUCGAGGGCAGAGGCAGCAGGCGGAGAGAGGGAGAUAGGGCGAGGGAAGGAGAACGCGGAGAGAGACGAAGGGAGUGGGAGACCAGCGACAGCGAGCGCCAGGGCACCGCAGGCACACUGGAUGCCCAGUCCGCCGGCCCAGCCGCCCUCGGACCCUGGACCGUGCGUCGUGGGCACCAGAAACGAGACUCGGCCAAAUCCUGCCUCACCAGCAGGUAGAUGAAACUCAAGAGAAAAGGUGUGGAUAAAUGAAACUAGCCCAUGAUGAACCUGUUUUCUCCGUGACCACAAUAUUAACCAGGAUGAAUGGCGGUGGCAGUGGGCCUGCAUCACAGGUUGCAGCAGAUGUUCUCAAUAUUUCUAUUAAAAUUUCCUUAUUUCCAUAUGCAAGAGGAGCCCCAGAGCUGCAUCCUUAUGGUAGCUACCAUGCCGUGAUGUAAGCUGCCAUUCACUGGGGAGCUUUGGCAAUAGAAUUGGCUAGAUCAGGAAGCCUAUGUCAACUAUGGAACAACAACUUGCAGCUCAUCUCUAUUGAUGAUGGAAUCUCGCUAUGUCACCAGGCUGGAGUGCAGUGGCGCAACCUCGGCUCAGCGCAACAUCCGCCUCCCGGGUUCAAGUGAUUCUCCUACCUCAGCCUCCUGAGUAGCUGGGAUUACAGAUACACUGCCUCUAGGACUGGGACAGAUAGCCACUGAGUACCUGCUUCAAAUCACCCUGCACGUUUUCUCUUUGGAAAGAUAAGCACUGGAGAACCAUCUCGUUACCUUCAGCAGAAAUGGAAACAAAUCAAGACAUUAAGAAUGCCGCAGUGGACAGCAGUUAUGCAAGGUUCAGCAGAGGAAGUUUUCAAGAUGGUGUGCCUCACUAGCCAGAAAUCAGAAAAGAUCGAAGCUAGCCUUUUCAUCUCAGCUGCUCCUUAAAUCAGUGCAACCCCUCCAAAUUAAUGUGAAUUGAAACUUGCAUUGCUUUUCAACUUAAUUGAAUACUUACUAUAUGUGAACCACUGCACAAAAUAGGGGAAGAAGAUGUGGGAGACAAAGAUGUGGAGCCUGUCUUCAAUAAAUUUACAGUUAGUUUCAGGGUACAUUGUUUUUCUUCUGCUGUUAAUUAGGUGUAUCCCCAAGACAAUAAAUACAUGAAUGGAAAAGUAUAUUCUGUGUUUUAAGUCUCUUUAAUAAAAAACAAAACAAAAUCCAAAAAAACUCCUAACAUGGCAACUCAGGACAUUUUAAUCCUUUUUUUUGUUGUUGGGCUUCUGAUAGGAUCCAUUUUAUUGAUUCCAUAAAUAUUUAGUAGACUUUAGACAUAUUAAUACAUUGUAGUUUGAGUUAAUUUGCAUUAAAUUCUGUUUUUUUCCCCUUAGGUAUAGAUUGUCUGUUGGAAAAAUAUAUUGCUUGUGGAUUUCUUGGGGAGUGGGAAGGUGAAUUAUACCUGUUGUCUCUACAGUCCACUACCUUCCACACCCUAGGGCAGUGGUCCCCAACCUUCUUGGCACCAGGGAUCAGUUUCCUGGAAGACAAUUUUUCUGUGGAUGGUGUGGGGAUGGUUUUGGGAUGGAACUGUUCCACCUCAGAUCAUCAGGCAUUAGUUAGGCUCUCAUAACGAGUGCGCAGCCUAGAUCCCUCACAUGCACAGUUCACAGUAGGGUUUGCGCUGCUAUGAGAAUCUAAGGCUGCCACUGAUCUGACAGGAGGCAGAACUCAGGUGGCAAUGCUUACUGGCCCACUGCUCACCUCUUGCUGUGCGGCCUGGUUCCUAAUAGGCCAUGGACCCCCACAGACGGGUACUAGUCUGCAGCCUGUGGACCCCAGCCCUAGGGGCCUGCCAUUCUGAGUGAGUUAUUAGCAUGAAGAAGAGGAAGAUCUGGAUCAAACGUGGGUGAUGGUACUCAGAGACCCAAGAUAGGAUAGGGAUGGAACAAAAUCCAUCUGGGCAACGGCUCUAUGAAAAUUUGGCUAAGUAAUUAUUUCAGUAUUCAUUGUAUUCAUUGUCCUUCGUGUUCCAUAAGUUAAAUGACUGUCUAAUUUUUCCAAAAAUUUAUUUCUGACUUGAGAAUAAGUGUGUCAUGAUUUUCCCAGUGUAAAGACACUGAUAUAACUGUAGAUACCAGACAUUUUAUGUAGUGUCUAUGACACAUUUUAGUAUGUAUGAGCCAACAAUAGACAUGUCUUUGUCUUGAGGAGUGUCCAUCUGAAUUGAAAAUGUGUCAGCUUUUUUUUAACAUCAUCAACAGACUUCUUAAUUAAGCUGCCAAUACAUACUGCCAAUAGCACUGUGUGCUGUCUGAGAAAUGCAUUGUGUAAGUGCUAUUUCCAUCUUAUUAAAUAAACAAUGUUGCUCUGUAUAAACUGGAUUUAAAGUGUUCUUUGAAUGAGGCAUUAUAUUGCUCCAUAAAUAAUGUGAUGUGAAUUCUCAUAUGAUCCCUUUUAACUUAAUUUCUAAAAAAAUAUUAUUUGCUCCUCAGUAAGGAAUAGCUCUAAUUGGACUGGUAACUUUAGUGAUAUGAUUUGUCUGUAACAGGCUGAAUCGCCCCACUCCCAAACUCCUGGUCGUGAUACUGGAUAUUUGUUAUGCCACUUUUAGUUUGCAUGAGGUAUCUUCCAGGAAGUAUUAGUUAUUAACUUGUGUUCUACUAAACUGUAGAUAUUUAUUUCCUGUUCUGGAAGAUUUCUUGGAGUGUCCAUCUGUGCAUUCCUGGUGCCUAGUGUAGUCUUGCUAAUGGAAUAGCACCUUUAUUGGUGCUACUUAGGGGUUGGUAGCUUACAAUCAAUCUACUUGGAACGUAUCCAAAUAAAC